RNAcentral lists this long non-coding RNA (417 nucleotides) under Apteryx owenii (little spotted kiwi). RNAcentral's name for it is "lncRNA (ENSAOWG00000008388.1)". Lineage: Eukaryota; Metazoa; Chordata; Aves; Apterygiformes; Apterygidae. The record is from RNAcentral.
AUGAUUGAAGAACUGACAUCAUCCUGGUGUCCAAAUGUGAAAACAAACACCAUUUCCUACUUUGACUUCAGGUCUGGAACAGCUUCUGUGCCCCUGAAAGCCUCCUGAGUUACCCUCUCUACUUCAGCAGCACUGGGUUGUUUUGCCUGCAGUCUCAAGUCUGCUGAGAUGCUGCACAUUGUGUUGUGGUGCUCGGGAUAGCACAUUUCCCAGGCAGAAGGGCUCCUCACUGACCUCUCGCUGGUACCCAGGGGUGAGUGCAACAGAGUGAUCUGACUUGUCGCUUGGCAACUUGAGCGGUAUGGCUCUAUAAUGUGUGGAUUUGUGGGGCAGUUUCUGGGCUUUGAGUGGGGAGCGAGGAGAAUGGCACUAACUCAGACUUCUCGUAUGACUUGAGCUGCCUUCUGAACAUUGCUG